UCUAAUAUGGCAGAAAAGUGCAAUGGAUUUAAGCUCCAAAUAUAAAGAAUUCAACUUUUGUUAGAA
This 66-nucleotide transfer RNA is filed under the name Diestrammena sp. RNAcentral describes it as "tRNA-Leu". It matches the Rfam family "tRNA". Rfam says of the family: Transfer RNA (tRNA) molecules are approximately 80 nucleotides in length. Lineage: Eukaryota; Metazoa; Arthropoda; Insecta; Orthoptera; Rhaphidophoridae. The record is from RNAcentral.